GUGUUCGCCUUGGCAGCACAUACUAAAAUUGGAACGAUACAGAGAAGAUUGGCAUGGCCCCUACACAGGGAUGAUACUCAUAUUCCUGCAGCUUUACAUAUUAGA
Small nuclear RNA from Marmota marmota marmota (Alpine marmot), 105 nucleotides. The record is from Ensembl. Lineage: Eukaryota; Metazoa; Chordata; Mammalia; Rodentia; Sciuridae.